RNAcentral lists this ribosomal RNA (421 nucleotides) under uncultured bacterium. Its description in RNAcentral is "bacterial SSU rRNA". It matches the Rfam family "Bacterial small subunit ribosomal RNA", at positions 358 to 775 of the family's 1533-position model. The record is from RNAcentral.
GGAAUAUUGGUCAAUGGCCGGAAGGCUGAACCAGCCAAGCCGCGUGAGGGAAGACGGCCCUAUGGGUUGUAAACUUCUUUUAUAUGGGAAUAAAACAGGGUAUGUAUACCAUUUUGUAUGUACCAUAUGAAUAAGGAUCGGCUAACUCCGUGCCAGCAGCCGCGGUAAUACGGAGGAUCCGAGCGUUAUCCGGAUUUAUUGGGUUUAAAGGGAGCGUAGGUGGAUUGUUAAGUCAGUUGUGAAAGUUUGCGGCUCAACCGUAAAAUUGCAGUUGAAACUGGCAGUCUUGAGUACAGUAGAGGUGGGCGGAAUUCGUGGUGUAGCGGUGAAAUGCUUAGAUAUCACGAAGAACUCCGAUUGCGAAGGCAGCUCACUGGACUGUUGACUGACACUGAGGCUCGAAAGUGUGGGUAUCAAACAG